This 496-nucleotide ribosomal RNA is filed under the name uncultured soil bacterium. RNAcentral's name for it is "bacterial SSU rRNA". It matches the Rfam family "Bacterial small subunit ribosomal RNA", at positions 65 to 573 of the family's 1533-position model. The record is from RNAcentral.
AACGAUUAAAGCUCCCUUCGGGGAGUGCAUAAAGUGGCGCACGGGUGAGUAACACGUAAGUAAUCUACCCUCGGGUGGGGAAUAACGUUCGGAAACGAACGCUAAUACCGCAUAAUGCAGCGGCACCGCAAGGUGACAGUUGUUAAAGGAGCAAUCCGCCUGGGGAGGAGCUUGCGGCAGAUUAGCUAGUUGGUAAGGUAACGGCUUACCAAGGCUACGAUCUGUAUCCGGUCUAAGAGGACGGUCGGACACACUGACACUGAAUAACGGGUCAGACUCCUACGGGAGGCAGCAGUCGGGAAUUUUGGGCAAUGGGGGAAACCCUGACCCAGCAACGCCGCGUGAAGGAUGAAGUAUUUCGGUAUGUAAACUUCGAAAGAAUAGGAAGAAUUAAUGACGGUACUAUUUAUAAGGUCCGGCUAACUACGUGCCAGCAGCCGCGGUAAUACGUAGGGACCAAGCGUUGUUCGGAUUUACUGGGCGUAAAGGGCGCGUA